AGUGAACGCUGGCGGUAGGCCUAACACAUGCAAGUCGAACGGCAGCACAGAGGAGCUUGCUCCUUGGGUGGCGAGUGGCGGACGGGUGAGGAAUACAUCGGAAUCUACUUUGUCGUGGGGGAUAACGUAGGGAAACUUACGCUAAUACCGCAUACGACCUACGGGUGAAAGCAGGGGAUCUUCGGACCUUGCGCGAUUGAAUGAGCCGAUGUCGGAUUAGCUAGUUGGCGGGGUAAAGGCCCACCAAGGCGACGAUCCGUAGCUGGUCUGAGAGGAUGAUCAGCCACACUGGAACUGAGACACGGUCCAGACUCCUACGGGAGGCAGCAGUGGGGAAUAUUGGACAAUGGGCGCAAGCCUGAUCCAGCCAUACCGCGUGGGUGAAGAAGGCCUUCGGGUUGUAAAGCCCUUUUGUUGGGAAAGAAAUCCAGCCGGCUAAUACCUGGUUGGGAUGACGGUACCCAAAGAAUAAGCACCGGCUAACUUCGUGCCAGCAGCCGCGGUAAUACGAAGGGUGCAAGCGUUACUCGGAAUUACUGGGCGUAAAGCGUGCGUAGGUGGUUAUUUAAGUCCGUUGUGAAAGCCCUGGGCUCAACCUGGGAACUGCAGUGGAUACUGGAUGACUAGAAUGUGGUAGAGGGUAGCGGAAUUUCUGGUGUAGCAGGAAAUGCGUAGAGAUCAGGAGGAACAUCCCUGGGCGAAUGCAGUUACCUUGGACCACAUUUGACACUGGUGGGCGAUAGCGGGGGGGAGCAACAUU
Molecule: ribosomal RNA, 760 nt
Filed under: uncultured Stenotrophomonas sp.
Lineage: Bacteria; Pseudomonadati; Pseudomonadota; Gammaproteobacteria; Lysobacterales; Lysobacteraceae
Description: bacterial SSU rRNA
Rfam family: Bacterial small subunit ribosomal RNA
Source: RNAcentral